GGAGUGGUGGUUCAGUGGUGGAAUUCUCACCUUCCAUGUGGGAGACUUGGGUUCGAUUCCCAGCCAAUGCU
RNAcentral lists this transfer RNA (71 nucleotides) under Loxodonta africana (African savanna elephant). It matches the Rfam family "tRNA". From Rfam's summary of the family: Transfer RNA (tRNA) molecules are approximately 80 nucleotides in length. Their secondary structure includes four short double-helical elements and three loops (D, anti-codon, and T loops). Lineage: Eukaryota; Metazoa; Chordata; Mammalia; Proboscidea; Elephantidae. The record is from Rfam by way of RNAcentral.